RNAcentral lists this non-coding RNA (21 nucleotides) under Caenorhabditis elegans. The record is from RNAcentral. Lineage: Eukaryota; Metazoa; Nematoda; Chromadorea; Rhabditida; Rhabditidae.
UAAGUUGCAAUAUGCAAAAAU